This 618-nucleotide ribosomal RNA is filed under the name uncultured delta proteobacterium. RNAcentral describes it as "partial 16S ribosomal RNA". The record is from RNAcentral. Lineage: Bacteria; Deltaproteobacteria.
UUCCUAUCCCGGUACCGUCAAGACAGGGAACUUUCCCCCCUGCCCUGUUCUUCCCGGGCGACAGUGCUUUACAACCCGAAGGCCUUCUUCACACACGCGGCGUCGCUGCGUCAGGCUUUCGCCCAUUGCGCAAUAUUCCUAACUGCUGCCUCCCGUAGGAGUCUGGACCGUGUUCCAGUUCCAGUGUGGCUGACCGUCCUCUCAGACCAGCUACCCAUCGUCGCCUUGGUGGGCCAUUACCCCGCCAACUAGCUAAUGGGACGCAGGCUCAUCUAAAAGUGAUAGCUUGUAAACAGAGGCCAUCUUUUCUCCCUAACCCUUUUGGGUCUGUGAGCUUAUCCGGUAUUAGCACGUCUUUCGACAUGUUAUCCCGAUCUUUUAGGUAGAUUACCCACGCGUUACUCACCCGUGCGCCACUUUACUCAUCCCGAAGGACUUUCUCGUGCGACUUGCAUGUUUUAGGCACGCCGCCAGCGUUCGUUCUGAGCCAGGAUCAAACUCUAAUCACUAGUGAAUUCGCGGCCGCCUGCAGGUCGACCAUAUGGGAGAGCUCCCAACGCGUUGGAUGCAUAGCUUGAGUAUUCUAUAGUGUCACCUAAAUAGCUUGGCGUAUCAUGU